GGCUAAUCCUGGUCGGACAUCAGGAGGUUAGUGCAAUGGCAUAAGCCAGCUUGACUGCGAGCGUGACGGCGCGAGCAGGUGCGAAAGCAGGUCAUAGUGAUCCGGUGGUUCUGAAUGGAAGGGCCAUCGCUCAACGGAUAAAAGGUACUCCGGGGAUAACAGGCUGAUACCGCCCAAGAGUUCAUAUCGACGGCGGUGUUUGGCACCUCGAUGUCGGCUCAUCACAUCCUGGGGCUGAAGUAGGUCCCAAGGGUAUGGCUGUUCGCCAUUUAAAGUGGUACGCGAGCUGGGUUUAGAACGUCGUGAGACAGUUCGGUCCCUAUCUGCCGUGGGCGCUGGAGAACUGAGGGGGGCUGCUCCUAGUACGAGAGGACCGGAGUGGACGCAUCACUGGUGUUCGGGUUGUCAUGCCAAUGGCA
RNAcentral lists this ribosomal RNA (419 nucleotides) under Escherichia coli. RNAcentral describes it as "partial 23S ribosomal RNA". It matches the Rfam family "Bacterial large subunit ribosomal RNA", at positions 2319 to 2737 of the family's 2925-position model. RNAcentral also lists the same sequence under 1 other name. The record is from RNAcentral. Lineage: Bacteria; Pseudomonadati; Pseudomonadota; Gammaproteobacteria; Enterobacterales; Enterobacteriaceae.